RNAcentral lists this ribosomal RNA (301 nucleotides) under uncultured Streptococcus sp. Its description in RNAcentral is "bacterial SSU rRNA". It matches the Rfam family "Bacterial small subunit ribosomal RNA", at positions 1082 to 1382 of the family's 1533-position model. The record is from RNAcentral. Lineage: Bacteria; Bacillati; Bacillota; Bacilli; Lactobacillales; Streptococcaceae.
AAGUCCCGCAACGAGCGCAACCCCUAUUGUUAGUUGCCAUCAUUCAGUUGGGCACUCUAGCGAGACUGCCGGUAAUAAACCGGAGGAAGGUGGGGAUGACGUCAAAUCAUCAUGCCCCUUAUGACCUGGGCUACACACGUGCUACAAUGGUUGGUACAACGAGUUGCGAGUCGGUGACGGCGAGCUAAUCUCUUAAAGCCAAUCUCAGUUCGGAUUGUAGGCUGCAACUCGCCUACAUGAAGUCGGAAUCGCUAGUAAUCGCGGAUCAGCACGCCCGCGGUCGAAUACGUUCCCGGGCCUU